Molecule: non-coding RNA, 215 nt
Filed under: Puniceibacterium sp. IMCC21224
Lineage: Bacteria; Pseudomonadati; Pseudomonadota; Alphaproteobacteria; Rhodobacterales; Paracoccaceae
Also listed under: 1 other name
Source: RNAcentral
CCUAACCCUUUGGCCGUCGGUCCGGCGAUCAGCAUCCAUUCUGUCCGCCGGCAAAAGGGAAUACGGUGCGCCCAUCGGGCAAACCCGGAGCUGCCCCCGCAACUGUGAGCGGUGAGCGACGCUGAACAUGCCACUGGUACGGGAUACCCGCACCGGGAAGGCCAGCCGAGCCACGACCCGCAAGCCAGGAGACCUGCCGACGCAUUCACCCAUAC